GAUGAACGCUGGCGGCGUGCCUAAUACAUGCAAGUCGAGCGAACGGACGAGAAGUUUGCUUCUUUGAUGUUUGCGGCGGACGUGUGAGUAACACGUGUAUAACCUACUUAUAAGACUGGGAUAACUUCGGGAAACCGUAGCUAACACCGGAUAAUCUCCUGAACCGCAUGGUUCAAUAGUGAAAGACGGUCUUGCUGUCACUUCUAGAUGGAUCCGGGCUGCAUUAGCUAGUUGGUAAGGUAACGGCUUAUCAAGGCGACGAUGCAUAGCCGACCGGAGGGGGUGAUCGGCCACACUGGAACGGAGACACGGUCCAGAGUCCUACGGGAGGCAGCAGUAGGGAAUCUUCGGCAGUGGGCGGAAGCAUGACGGAACAACGCGACGUGAGUGAUGAAGAUCUUCGGAUCGUAAAACUCUGUUAUUAGGGAAGAACAUAUGUGUAAGUAACUGUGCAGAUCUUGACGGUACCUAAUCAGAAAGCCACGGCUAACUACGUG
Molecule: ribosomal RNA, 497 nt
Filed under: uncultured bacterium
Lineage: Bacteria
Description: partial 16S ribosomal RNA
Rfam family: Bacterial small subunit ribosomal RNA
Source: RNAcentral